CUAUACUAUACAUACAUUCUAUGUGAUUGUCACAUACCUAAGUGUUAUGUGUAAAGAACAUGAACAUUAUGUGAAUAUACGAUGUGAAAAAAGUUGACAGUUUCAAUAUGGUUUCUCGUAUAGUAACAGCACAAGGCAAAGGAAUUACGAUCGGAGAUACUCAAACACUUUUCUGAAGGUAUUUAAAGAAUGCGGAAACGGAAAAAAACUGUUAGCAUUGAAGGAACCAAAAAAACUACGACGAAGUUUGCUGAUUUUCUCAACACAAAGGAAGCAUAAUAAGAGAAACUAUUUUAGCUGCUGAUAGUUAUGCAAAUGCUAUUAAUUAUAAACAGAACAUGUAAAUAUAAGAUGCAUUACAAUAAAA
Molecule: long non-coding RNA, 367 nt
Organism: Topomyia yanbarensis
Lineage: Eukaryota; Metazoa; Arthropoda; Insecta; Diptera; Culicidae
Exons: 2
Source: RefSeq, a predicted model, not a curated record